Molecule: ribosomal RNA, 577 nt
Filed under: uncultured bacterium
Lineage: Bacteria
Description: bacterial SSU rRNA
Rfam family: Bacterial small subunit ribosomal RNA
Source: RNAcentral
CCUACGGGAGGCAGCAGUGAGGAAUAUUGGACAAUGGGCGCAAGCCUGAUCCAGCCAUGCCGCGUGCAGGAUGACGGUCCUAUGGAUUGUAAACUGCUUUUAUACGAGAAGAAACACUCCGACGUGUCGGAGCUUGACGGUAUCGUAAGAAUAAGGAUCGGCUAACUCCGUGCCAGCAGCCGCGGUAAUACGGAGGAUCCAAGCGUUAUCCGGAAUCAUUGGGUUUAAAGGGUCCGUAGGCGGUUUAAUAAGUCAGUGGUGAAAGCCCAUCGCUCAACGGUGGAACGGCCAUUGAUACUGUUAAACUUGAAUUAUUAGGAAGUAACUAGAAUAUGUAGUGUAGCGGUGAAAUGCUUAGAGAUUACAUGGAAUACCAAUUGCGAAGGCAGGUUACUACUAAUUGAUUGACGCUGAUGGACGAAAGCGUGGGUAGCGAACAGGAUUAGAUACCCUGGUAGUCCACGCCGUAAACGAUGGAUACUAGCUGUUGGGAGCAAUCUCAGUGGCUAAGCGAAAGUGAUAAGUAUCCCACCUGGGGAGUACGUUCGCAAGAAUGAAACUCAAAGUGAAUUGACGG